AACGAACGCUGGCGGCAGGCUUAACACAUGCAAGUCGGACGGUUGUAGCAAUACAGCAGUGGCAGACGGGUGAGUAACACGUGGGAACCUUCCUAGGGGGUACGGAACAACUCAGGGAAACUUGAGCUAAUACCGUAUACGUCCGUGAGGAGAAAGAUUUAUCGCCCUUAGGCGGGCCCGCGUCGGAUUAGCUAGUUGGUGGGGUAACGGCCUACCAAGGCGACGAUCCGUAGCUGAUCUUAGAGGAUGAUCAGCCACACUGGGACUGAGACACGGCCCAGACUCCUACGGGAGGCAGCAGUGGGGAAUCUUGGACAAUGGGCGCAAGCCUGAUCCAGCCAUGCCGCGUGAGUGAAGAAGGUCUUCGGAUUGUAAAGCUCUUUUGCCAGGGACGAUAAUGACGGUACCUGGAGAAUAAGCCCCGGCAAACUUCGUGCCAGCAGCCGCGGUAAU
This 453-nucleotide ribosomal RNA is filed under the name uncultured bacterium. RNAcentral describes it as "bacterial SSU rRNA". It matches the Rfam family "Bacterial small subunit ribosomal RNA", at positions 29 to 524 of the family's 1533-position model. The record is from RNAcentral.